Molecule: long non-coding RNA, 2359 nt
Filed under: Orbicella faveolata
Lineage: Eukaryota; Metazoa; Cnidaria; Anthozoa; Scleractinia; Merulinidae
Description: uncharacterized LOC110055637
Source: RNAcentral
GUGAAUGCUGAAUUUCUCAUAGUUUGUUUUGAUGGUAUUGAUAUAAUAGGUUGCUCAAUCAAGCUAAAUCCUUGUGUUUCUAUUUUGCAGGAGUGGCUUUGGUGCCUAGGCCCCUUUCUUAGAGCUCGACUGUACUUCGCCAAGAAACUCCAUGGUAAAGAGGGUCUAGAGCGGACAAUAGUUCGCGUGAAGAGCAUCCUGGCAAGACACAAAGUGGAAAUAACAAACUCCCCCUGGCGCAGCUUACCUGAACUUACUAACGCCGGGGGGGUGCCAUGUCAUGAUGGCUGUCCUGCACAGGCAUGGUCUGUAAGCUGCUUGUUAGAUGUAUUGUACGAUAUGGAGAAAUUAGUUCAAGGAGACAAUACAACUUGACUGUAGCUAGAAGGCUGGUCUUUUAAGCCGUUAGUUUGGAUUCCGUAACGUAAUGUCACGUCACGUAACGCUUGGGUCGUCUCAUGGCGUGACACCGGGUUGCAUACGCAGCCGUUAUUUUGGUCACGUAACGUUACAUCACGUGCAGCCGUUCUCUAUGGUCGCGUAACGUUACGUUACACAUAGUAACCUUUAGUUGGCGUGUAAGUGUUGUUUUGGGUCGUGAGGUAAAAUGGAGUAGCUAGGUAGCUAUUUAAUUAGACGAUUUAUUCCGUAAAUGAAAUUGCGUUCACACUAAUUCCAAAAGACAUGUUUAUUUUCCACAAGCUUGUUUCUAAUUGCGUUGUUAACAUUAGGUGGCUAUGUUUCAAGUCAAGUUUCGUUAUUUAUUUCGUUUUACGGUAGAUACAUCAGAUUGUUAUAGCUACACAUAAAAGCGAGAAUUGGUGCUCGAACUUCAUGUUGCAGUUAUUUUAUUAGCCUCCCUUCGUUCAGUUAGUUCACGCCGUUUUUUCGCGCCGCGCUCCAACUAACUGAACGCGUGGAAGAGGCUAUUAUUUCAGUUAUGGUCUAAUUCAAGAGGCAACUUACUUCCUUUUCGCUUUUUGUAUCUCUUAAGGUACAAUCAUGUUCUGACUAAAUGUAUUUCGAUCAUUUUUUUAUGCAGUGCACCUUUUAAAGAUUCAUAAUAAAACAUGUUUCAUUCAUGCGUAGACUAAACGUGUUUAGGAGAGUGUGAACGCAGUACAAGUCUCGUCUACUGAAUGCAGGACGACAAGUCUUUCAAAACGGCUCUUAUAGUGUCAAGGUGUCCCGAAAAAUUACUAAAAUUUCUUAAACUAUAUUAGGUUAUUUAGGUAUUUUCUGGUUUGUGCGUAGUCGUAUCUUUAUGUUCAUCCUGGGCUUAUUUUUUGGCGAGCAGGACGGUCUGUUUCAAAGCAGCGUGGUAAGAUCCCUGCUCAAAGUUUGUGUUCGAGUGAAUGUCCCGAGGAAAUGGGCAGGACUGCACGCGGCAGUCUAAAUGUAUUAUUAGUGUAUUAUUAGUAUUUAACUCAUUGUAAUUCAGAGGUAGGAUGCGAGAAGUCUCAUUAGGUGUAAUCUUAAAUCUUCUGUAUAGCUCCAGAUCGAUAAUUUUUUGGUUUUCUCGUCUGAUUCAUUUCUUUUAAUUAAUCGUUGAUCAUAACGUGGGGAAACAGACUUCCCAGAUAACAGCCAAUCAGAGACGGUAUAUAGUAUCACGUCAUCAGUCUUGGAUUUUCGGGUGGGGUUGGGUUGGGGGGGCGGGAGCAGAGAACGGUGGAUCUGAGCUCUCAUAGGAGAUGUGCGUUUUCUCGGGCUGUGUUCAUCAGAAUCAAGUGUAGGUAGUAAACACGGUAUCUGCGGCAUAAGUUCGCAAACAGAAAACAGCAGCAGAAAACUUUGUCGCCAAUGCGUUUGCGGGAUCUUUUGGGUAUAGGAGGUAAGGUUUAAAAUGGUGGCAACGGAGAGCAAGAAAAUUAAACAGUCCUCGAACUGAAUGUACUGAUUGAUUCAGAAAGCACAAUCCAGUGAUUAUUUUAAUCUUUGAAAGACAUUUCAGCGUUCAACAGACGCCAUCUUAUCCACCCAAACGAUUCCAGAAACCAUCACGCACUGAUGUACUCAGUCUCUCCAUAUUUCUAGACUAUACCGUCUAUACGGAAUAAUAAAUGAUCUUUGUAUUGUGUGUAGAGAGACUAAAAGUAAGCUUUUAAAAUAUUAAUCUAUCAGUAGUUAUCGCUACCAAUAAAAUCAUCAAAUAAUUGUCACGUGGGCGUAAUGUCAUAUCUCUUUGAUGACGACAUUUAUGUGACGUCAUUUAACUACAAUGAAAAACCCUGCAGUUACUGGGAGCGAGGUCUGGCAGUUUUUUUGAUAUUAAAAGCUGUUGUGUUUAACGUCUCAUUUGGGAUUUUCAGAAUUUAACGAGGAAAGAAUAUUUGAGUAAAGGGACAAAGGAAAGCAA